Molecule: long non-coding RNA, 992 nt
Organism: Chelonia mydas (Green sea turtle)
Lineage: Eukaryota; Metazoa; Chordata; Testudines; Cheloniidae
Exons: 2
Source: RefSeq, a predicted model, not a curated record
CUUCAAGCACACACAGCAAAUAUAAAAAAGAAUCCAGAUUUGACUUGCAUAAACAUAAUAGAACACAAAAGAUAAACAUCCCACAUAAUGAAGAUACCGGGUUCUGUUUUAUAAGAAUCUCAGAGUAUGUUACAUCAGUAUCCCUAACUUCUACAGAGUUCAGAAUUUAGCCUCUUUCAUUACCUGCAGGUGCUAUCUCUUUAGCUAUUUAGUCACCACUAAAAUGUUCUACUUUGGGUGCACCCUUUUAUAAGAGCCUUUCCCAGCAUGCUCCCUCCUAUGGUAGUUGACCCUUUAAAUCUGGGGAAGACAGCCAAUUGCAGCCUUAGACUGUCCAUUUUGUAGGUGACUGGAUAAGCCUGCAACUCUUUUCUUCUAAAGCUCAAGGAUGGAGUUUCAAGAGCCAAAUGAGUUGGAACUCACCUCAGCAGUUUAAUGAUAAGGUCUCCUUAAUCCCAGGGUCAAGAAAACCAGAAAGAAUGAUCAGUAUUGCCCAGAGCCUGGCUAACACUACAGUUCCAUGGAAAUAAAUUUAAUCCUGAACUUCUGGAGGUUGCAAGGAAAAAGACACAGGUUCAACACUCCCAGGAACUCACCAAGUAUAGAACGGCUUUAGCAAGAGCCUUGGAAGACUUUUUUGUCAAAGGGAAAUGGGGAGUGGAGGAGUCGUCAAGCUUACCAGAAGUUAGGGUAUGUUUUUGUCUAAAGUGAAUUCUCUUCUCUCUCUGAACCUACACAUCUCUUAAAUCCGCUUCUUACUGUGCUUUCUAACUCAUCCCGCUGGUAAAUCCUGAUUUACAGAACAGCAGAGUAGCACUGGAGAAGUAACUAGUACAAAGCGUAAGAGGGAAAUCUCAGCAGCCCUGCACUCCCCCUGCCAAAAACAGGCUGGAGAGCAGAACGGCUCAUUUGUCUGGAGAGUAUUUGACUGUACAUGAAAAAAUAUAUAGAUUCAGAAGUCACUCUAACUAUAAAUUGUACGUUUUAAAGAA